GGCACUGAAGCUCAUGAGGUAUGAGCAACCGACUCAUAAUCGGAAGGUAGGUUUGGAUUCGAAUUCCCCCAGUGCCA
This 77-nucleotide transfer RNA is filed under the name Vibrio phage eugene 12A10. It matches the Rfam family "tRNA". Rfam says of the family: Transfer RNA (tRNA) molecules are approximately 80 nucleotides in length. Their secondary structure includes four short double-helical elements and three loops (D, anti-codon, and T loops). Further hydrogen bonds mediate the characteristic L-shaped molecular structure. tRNAs have two regions of fundamental functional importance: the anti-codon, which is responsible for specific mRNA codon recognition, and the 3' end, to which the tRNAs corresponding amino acid is attached (by aminoacyl-tRNA synthetases). tRNAs cope with the degeneracy of the genetic code in two manners: having more than one tRNA (with a specific anti-codon) for a particular amino acid; and 'wobble' base-pairing, i.e. permitting non-standard base-pairing at the 3rd anti-codon position. Lineage: Duplodnaviria; Heunggongvirae; Uroviricota; Caudoviricetes. The record is from Rfam by way of RNAcentral.